RNAcentral lists this ribosomal RNA (216 nucleotides) under uncultured Glomus. RNAcentral's name for it is "partial small subunit ribosomal RNA". It matches the Rfam family "Eukaryotic small subunit ribosomal RNA", at positions 569 to 787 of the family's 1831-position model. The record is from RNAcentral. Lineage: Eukaryota; Fungi; Glomeromycota; Glomeromycetes; Glomerales; Glomeraceae.
AGCAGCCGCGGUAAUUCCAGCUCCAAUAGCGUAUAUUAAAGUUGUUGCAGUUAAAAAGCUCGUAGUUGAAUUUCGGGAUCAUCAGGUUGGUCGUGCCUCUGGUAUGUACUUUCCUCGAUGGUUCCUCCUUCUUGAAGAUCCGUAAUGCCAUUAAUUUGGUGUUGCGGGGAAUCAGGACUGUUACUUUGAAAAAAUUAAAGUGUUUAAAGCAGGCCC